GACGAACGCUGGCGGCGUGCUUAACACAUGCAAGUCGAACGGAAAGGCCCUGCUUUUGUGGGGUGCUCGAGUGGCGAACGGGUGAGUAACACGUGAGUAACCUGCCCUUGACUUUGGGAUAACUUCAGGAAACUGGGGCUAAUACCGGAUAGGAGCUCCUGCUGCAUGGUGGGGGUUGGAAAGUUUCGGCGGUUGGGGAUGGACUCGCGGCUUAUCAGCUUGUUGGUGGGGGAGUGGCUUACCAAGGCUUUGACGGGUAGCCGGCCUGAGAGGGUGACCGGCCACAUUGGGACUGCGGUACGGCCCAGAGUGCUACGGUGGGCAGCAGUGGGGAAUAUUGCACAAUGGGAGGACGCCGGAUGCAGCAGCGCCGCGUUCGGGAUGACGGCCUUCGGGUUGUAAACCGCUUCCGCCUGUGACGAAGCGUGAGUGACGGUAAUGGGUAAAUAAGCACCGGCUAACUACGUG
RNAcentral lists this ribosomal RNA (468 nucleotides) under uncultured bacterium. Its description in RNAcentral is "partial 16S ribosomal RNA". It matches the Rfam family "Bacterial small subunit ribosomal RNA", at positions 28 to 507 of the family's 1533-position model. The record is from RNAcentral.